UUGUUAAGUUCCCUUCUUCAGUCUUCUCUUAAGCUGAAAGUCCAACGAUUUCAAGAUUCAAUUAAUUAGAGACAUGGAGAGCCAAAGAACAAGGUAAAAGCUACGUUCCUUCUAACUGAAGACACACUUAGUAAUUGGCCUCUUAUUAAAAUGGAUAUCUUCUGGGUGUAUGUUUAAUAAGGUUGAUAAAAGUCGUCAUUUCCUCAUUAGGACAGUGGAUGAAUAUACUCUCAGUGCUCGUGUUUAGAAAAGAAGGGAACAAAUAUAAAAAUAGCGCUGUCUUAAAAUGUAGGAAUGUAAAAUAUUAAAACGGAGAAGCCUGGGGCUGAUCCUCUGGGGUAGGAAGAGAGGAAAUUACCAUGUGUCUGUCUAUGCGUAUGCAAACACAAGAAAAGCAAAGGGAAAGGAGUUUACUGGGUGCUUCACUUUCUCAUUUUAUCUGAAUAGGCAAAAUAUAGAAAGCCUUUGAGCUCCACGACACGGACUACCACUGGCUCGUUAACAUGACUUUUUGUCUGGAGGAACAAGUCCUCCUGUCCAUCAAAAAUGAGCCUGAGUGUGCCACUCAUCUGUUGUAAUAUGAAAGAUUUCUGUGAAUCAAUAUGUGGUCAACAGCAGAAGUUACUUCUUGCAGGAGAUACCCUACAGAAAGACAAGUGUAAGAGGUUCACUUUCUAUUCUUUCCACUGAAGCUUUGAGAAGAAAAAACCAUAAGAAAACAUGACGACUAGACAAACUGUUGGAGUGUUAACUUAGGAGAAACAUGUGAGUUCUAAUCCCUUGAUUCAAAGCCUGUUUAUGUAUUUCAUGUUAAAUCUAAACAACCAUAGAAACAACUUCAGCUUAUGUGUAUUUAUAUUAACUCUGGGAAUUGUUAAAACUGCAAAGGAAAAACAUAAACAGA
RNAcentral lists this long non-coding RNA (904 nucleotides) under Calidris pugnax (ruff). RNAcentral describes it as "lncRNA (ENSCPUG00000003388.1)". Lineage: Eukaryota; Metazoa; Chordata; Aves; Charadriiformes; Scolopacidae. The record is from RNAcentral.